UUCAUCAGUAUUAUUGCUUUUCCUUUGUGCAGUUGAGAGAGUUCCUAAAAAGCCCACAGUGGCAAAGCAUACAGAAAAUGCGUGCAUCUACUGGUGGAGCCUGUCACCCUCCUGACAAGGAGGGUCUCCACUGAACUGCAGGGGGUGAAGGAGCUGAGGGCAUUGAGGGAAGCCAAGGAACAACGAGGCGCCAAAGUGGAGGAGCUGGAGAGGAGCUUGAUGGGUGAGUGAGGACAAG
Long non-coding RNA from Fukomys damarensis (Damara mole-rat), 238 nucleotides. RefSeq lists it as uncharacterized. The transcript is spliced from 3 exons. The record is from RefSeq and is a predicted model, not a curated record. NCBI's taxonomy places the organism in Eukaryota, Metazoa, Chordata, Mammalia, Rodentia, Bathyergidae.